GACGAACGCUGGCGGCGUGCUUAACACAUGCAAGUCGAGCGGUAAGGCCCUUUCGGGGGUACACGAGCGGCGAACGGGUGAGUAACACGUGGGCGACCCACCCUCAGCUCUGGGAUAAGCCUGGGAAACUGGGGCUAAUACCGGAUGGUUCCUUCGGGAUAAAGAUUUAUCGCCAAAAGAUGAGUCCGCGUACGAUUAGCUAGUUGGUGAGGUAAUGGCUCACCAAGGCGACGAUCGUUAGCUGGUCUGAGAGGAUGAUCAGCCACACUGGAACUGAGACACGGUCCAGACUCCUACGGGAGGCAGCAGUGGGGAAUAUUGCGCAAUGGGCGGAAGCCUGACGCAGCGACGCCGCGUGGGGGAUGACGGCCUUCGGGUUGUAAACCUCUUUCGACCUUGACGAAGCCUUUGGGUGACGGUAGGGGUAGAAGAAGCACCGGCCAACUACGUGCCAGCAGCCGCGGUAAUACGUAGGGUGCGAGCGUUGUCCGGAAUUAUUGGGCGUAAAGAGCUCGUAGGCGGUUCAGUUAGUCGGGUGUGAAAGCCUUGAGCUCAACUCAAGAAAUGCAUUCGGUACUGGGUGACUAGAGGACCGGAGAGGAUAGUGGAAUUCCCAGU
This 618-nucleotide ribosomal RNA is filed under the name uncultured bacterium. RNAcentral's name for it is "bacterial SSU rRNA". It matches the Rfam family "Bacterial small subunit ribosomal RNA", at positions 28 to 674 of the family's 1533-position model. The record is from RNAcentral.